RNAcentral lists this unclassified non-coding RNA (331 nucleotides) under soil metagenome. RNAcentral describes it as "partial contains 5.8S ribosomal RNA, internal transcribed spacer 2, and large subunit ribosomal RNA". The stretch from base 1 to 119 matches the Rfam family "5.8S ribosomal RNA", at positions 35 to 154 of the family's 154-position model. The record is from RNAcentral.
GAUGAAGAACGCAGUGAAAUGCGAUAAGUAAUGCGAAUUGCAGAAUCCGUGAGUCAUCGAAUCUUUGAACGCACAUUGCGCCCGCCAGUAUUCUGGCGGGCAUGCCUGUUCGAGCGUCAUUUCAACCCUCAAGCACAGCUUGGUGUUGGGACUCGCGUUAAUUCGCGUUCCUCAAAUUGAUUGGCGGUCACGUCGAGCUUCCAUAGCGUAGUAGUAAAACCCUCGUUACUGGUAAUCGUCGCGGCCACGCCGUUAAACCCCAACUUCUGAAUGUUGACCUCGGAUCAGGUAGGAAUACCCGCUGAACUUAAGCAUAUCAAUAAGCGGAGGA